RNAcentral lists this long non-coding RNA (739 nucleotides) under Ananas comosus (pineapple). RNAcentral's name for it is "long non-coding RNA (ACOM_LNC028895)". The record is from RNAcentral. Lineage: Eukaryota; Viridiplantae; Streptophyta; Magnoliopsida; Poales; Bromeliaceae.
AAAUUUAAAGUUUGAAAUUUAGAAUUUAAAAUUUGAGAUUUUAAAUUUCAAAUUUUAAUUUCAAAUUUUAAAAUUGCAAAGUUAAAAUUUUAAAUUUAAAAAUUUAAAAAAUAUAAUAAGUGGGUAACAUCAUUAUUUUUUAUUUAUAAAAAUCCACUGUCAUUUUUAUUCCAUCUUACCUAAUCAAACGCAAUUUUUUUUAUUUCCAGGAAUAACCCAAUUUUCAUCCAAACGCAAAAUUGAUCUAAUCCUUGCUUAUACCUCAAUUUAUACCUAUCCUUGGAAUAGCCACUUUUUACUUAUCCCCGAACCAAACGAUACCCUAAAGAAUGCUACAUUCAGCCGCUUGGAAAGGAUUGAAGUUUGGAUCUUUAGGAAUGAAUUGUUUCAGUUAGAUUAUUGCGUCCCGAAAGACAGUGAUUUGGGCCAAUUAUCUGAUUUAUGAUUAAAAUUUACAAAGAAACUUGCCAACAGAAAAUACCAAACCUACUUAACUUACUCUCGAACUAAAACUAUCGGAAAUUUUUUUUUUUUUUGAGAGAUAGGUAGCACGCUACCUGCUUCGUUUAUUUCAUUUAGAAAUAAACUUAGAUGGAAAUGUGAAUCAACUAGGAUUCAAACUUGGGUCUCGGGUACCAACCACCAAGCUCUUUGCCACUUGCUCUAGCGACGAUCUGUCUAUCGAAAAUUAUUAAAUGCUAAAACUAUCUAUCUACUCUAUUUCUAGAUUUAUUAAGUU